Molecule: ribosomal RNA, 464 nt
Filed under: uncultured bacterium
Lineage: Bacteria
Description: bacterial SSU rRNA
Rfam family: Bacterial small subunit ribosomal RNA
Source: RNAcentral
UUGUGAAAUGUUGGGUUAAGUCCCGCAACGAGCGCAACCCUUAUCCUUUGUUGCCAGCGGUCCGGCCGGGAACUCAAAGGAGACUGCCAGUGAUAAACUGGAGGAAGGUGGGGGUGACGUCAAGUCAUCAUGGCCCUUACGACCAGGGCUACACACGUGCUACAAUGGCGCAUACAAAGAGAAGCGACCUCGCGAGAGCAAGCGGACCUCAUAAAGUGCGUCGUAGUCCGGAUUGGAGUCUGCAACUCGACUCCAUGAAGUCGGAAUCGCUAGUAAUCGUGGAUCAGAAUGCCACGGUGAAUACGUUCCCGGGCCUUGUACACACCGCCCGUCACACCAUGGGAGUGGGUUGCAAAAGAAGUAGGUAGCUUAACCUUCGGGAGGGCGCUUACCACUUUGUGAUUCAUGACUGGGGUGAAGUCGUAACAAGGUAACCGUAGGGGAACCUGCGGUUGGAUCACCUC